AUUGAACGCUGGCGGCAGGCCUAACACAUGCAAGUCGAAUGGUAACAGGAAACAGCUUGCUGUUUCGCUGACGAGUGGCGGACGGGUGAGUAAUGUCUGGGAAACUGCCUGAUGGAGGGGGAUAACUACUGGAAACGGUAGCUAAUACCGCAUAACGUCGCAAGACCAAAGAGGGGGACCUUCGGGCCUCUUGCCAUCAGAUGUGCCCAGAUGGGAUUAGCUAGUAGGUGGGGUAACGGCUCACCUAGGCGACGAUCCCUAGCUGGUCUGGGAGGAUGACCAGCCACACUGGAACUGAGACACGGUCCAGACUCCUACGGGAGGCAGCAGUGGGGAAUAUUGCACAAUGGGCGCAAGCCUGAUGCAGCCAUGCCGCGUGUAUGAAGAAGGCCUUCGGGUUGUAAAGUACUUUCAGCGGGGAGGAAGGGAGUAAAGUUAAUACCUUUGCUCAUUGACGUUACCCGCAGAAGAAGCACCGGCUAACUCCGUG
RNAcentral lists this ribosomal RNA (490 nucleotides) under uncultured bacterium. RNAcentral describes it as "partial 16S ribosomal RNA". It matches the Rfam family "Bacterial small subunit ribosomal RNA", at positions 30 to 507 of the family's 1533-position model. The record is from RNAcentral.